RNAcentral lists this ribosomal RNA (1008 nucleotides) under Triticum aestivum (bread wheat). Its description in RNAcentral is "partial small subunit ribosomal RNA". Lineage: Eukaryota; Viridiplantae; Streptophyta; Magnoliopsida; Poales; Poaceae. The record is from RNAcentral.
GGACCACAGAAUGCUUGCAUAUUCUACUGGAUGCUUCAGCUUGCAGUGGGUGCCUUGAAGAGUUUCAGUGGGCUUCGUUGUGCAUGGGUCAACAAUUUCAUUUUGGCUCUUGCAUCCUCAAUGUUCUGCUUCUGUUUUGAGACAUGGAUUGUGCUGGAGCAUGAGAAGCAAGGCCAGAAGCAAGAGUCGCUGUUUGAUACCUUCUGGCUGAUGACAUUCUUUGAAUCAAUAUCCCUUGUUGGAAGUCAAGGAAUCACAAACUUAUUGCUUGAUGAUGAUAACAAAGGAAUCUUGCUUCCGUAUACGUUUGCAGCCUUAGUGUCAGUAAUAGGAAUAUUGUAUAUCAGAAAAGCACCAAGUAUCAGUACCGCCCAUCAUGCAUCUGUCAUUGGAAGCUACCAAAAAUCAUUUUAUGCUCAUGUCCUCAGAGACAAAAGAGUGCUGAUUCUGGUCUUAGCUCAAGCAAGUGUCCAGUUCUCUGUAUCAGCCUUUUGGUUCCUCUGGGCACCAACGAUAGUGGCUGACGGAAGGGAUGCUCCUCUGUCACUAAACUACCCAUGUUUCCUGGUCUCGAGAAUGCUUGGAAGUGCUGCUGUUCCAUGGUUUUAUGGAGCCAUGGCUCCUUUCCAGAACGAGGAUAGCCUGACAACAGCAUACAUUGCUGCUGGACUUGCUUUGUCAAUUGUGGCUUAUGAUUAUCAGGAGAUUGGAACACUGGUGAUACUGUUCUGCAUCUUCCAUGCAUCCGUGGGCUUUGUUUUACCUUUGCUCGCAAGAUUUAGGACAAUGUACCUGCCAAAUGAACUACGUGGAGGCAUGAUGAGCUUUUCCCUAGCACUGGGAAAUGCACCUAUGUUCAUUUUCCUAAUACAGGGCGCCUACCAUGGGAACAUCGCAAAUUCAACCAUUCUAGGCCUUGCAGCCUGUGGCCUUUUGUCUGCCGGGGGCUGCAUUCAUAUGCUGCGGCGUUGGAGAAAGCACACCCGUCAAAACGUGCGCAGUCUAUAG